RNAcentral lists this ribosomal RNA (1347 nucleotides) under metagenome. RNAcentral describes it as "bacterial LSU rRNA". It matches the Rfam family "Bacterial large subunit ribosomal RNA", at positions 1499 to 2870 of the family's 2925-position model. The record is from RNAcentral.
CGGAAUAGUGCGUUAAAGCCCGUAGAUAUAGAUGCUGUCGGAAAACCCGCAGUGUCUGUCGAAGGUGACAGUACCGAAAGUCUUCGGACAAUCGGAUAAUGACCCUAAUCAUACUUCCAAGAAAAUUCCCUAAACUUAUAAAUAUACAGCCCGUACCGCAAACCGACACAGGUAGUCGAGAAGAAUAUUCUAAGGUGCUCGAGUGAUCCAUGGCUAAGGAACUCGGCAAAUUAACCCUGUAACUUCGGGAAAAAGGGUGCUCUCUUCGGAGAGUCGCAGAGAAAUGGCCCAGGCGACUGUUUAACAAAAACACAUGGCUAUGCUAAAUCGAAAGAUGACGUAUAUGGCCUGACACCUGCCCGGUGCUGGAAGGUUAAAAGGAGAUGUCAGCAGCAAUGCAAAGCAUUGAAUUGAAGCCCCAGUAAACGGCGGCCGUAACGAUAACGGUCCUAAGGUAGCGAAAUUCCUUGUCGGGUAAGUUCCGACCUGCACGAAUGGUGUAACGAUCUGGGCGCUGUCUCAGUCAUGAGCUCGGUGAAAUUGUAGUAUCGGUGAAGAUGCCGAUACCCGCAACGGGACGGAAAGACCCCGUGCACCUUCACUACAACUUUGCAUUGACUUUGGAUGAAUGAUGUGUAGGAUAGGUGGGAGACUUUGAAGCGGUGGCGCUAGCUACCGUGGAGUCAACCUUGAAAUACCACCCUUCAUUCAUUCGGAGUCUAAUUCCACACCGUGGAAAACAGUGCAUGGUGGGUAGUUUGACUGGGGUGGUCGCCUCCAAAAGAGUAACGGAGGCUUUCAAAGGUACCCUCAGCACGCUUGGUAACCGUGCGUGGAGUGCAAUAGCAUAAGGGUGCUUAACUGUGAGACAAACAAGUCGAGCAGAGUCGAAAGACGGAUAUAGUGAUCCGGUGGUUCCGCAUGGAAGGGCCAUCGCUCAAAGGAUAAAAGGUACGCCCGGGAUAACAGGCUGAUCUCCCCCAAGAGCUCACAUCGACGGGGAGGUUUGGCACCUCGAUGUCGGCUCGUCACAUCCUGGGGCUGGAGAAGGUCCCAAGGGUUGAGCUGUUCGCUCAUUAAAGUGGCACGCGAGCUGGGUUCAGAACGUCGUGAGACAGUUCGGUCCCUAUCUGUUGUGGGCGUUGGAAGUUUGAGAGGGCCUGACUCUAGUACGAGAGGACCGAGUCGGACGAACCGCUAGUGUACCUGUUGUCACGCCAGUGGCAUUGCAGGGUAGCUAUGUUCGGUUGAGAUAAGCGCUGAAAGCAUCUAAGCACGAAACUCGCCUCAAGAUGAGACUUCCUUUAAAGGUCGUGGUAGACUACCACGUUGAUAGGUUGCAAGUGU